UCCAGUUUUAUUCUGAGGGAUGAUCCAGUCACUGUUGGAGGCACAUAGCCAUGGCAAAUCUCACGCUGUACAUUGAUCACCUGUCCAACCUUUGCCUAGAGUGUGAUCCCCAGUUCCUUCAAGAGUUCCAUCUUUACCUGUCUAUAAAGAGGAGGAGGAGGAGGAGGAGGAGGAGGAGAGACAUCUGGGAUAACCACAUAUCAAAGAUUAACACCAGAGCAGUUGCCAGAGGAGCUGGAGAAAGAGGAGGAAAAAAUGCAGCACUGCAGAAUUAAGCUGAUAAUCUAUUGCAGUGGAUCUCCAAACAUAACCAUGACAUCCUGGAGCAG
Molecule: long non-coding RNA, 329 nt
Filed under: Chrysemys picta bellii (western painted turtle)
Lineage: Eukaryota; Metazoa; Chordata; Testudines; Emydidae
Description: lncRNA (ENSCPBG00000021411.1)
Source: RNAcentral